UCUCCUCGGGGCGCAGCAGUGAGGAAUAUUGGUCAAUGGGCUUACGCCUGAACCAGCCAAGUCGCGUGAGGGAAGACUGCCCUAUGGGUUGUAAACCUCUUUUGUCAGGGAGCAACGCCGGCUACGUGUAGCCGGACUGAGAGUACCUGAAGAAAAAGCAUCGGCUAACUCCGUGCCAGCAGCCGCGGUAAUACGGAGGAUGCGAGCGUUAUCCGGAUUUAUUGGGUUUAAAGGGUGCGUAGGCGGAAUGCCAAGUCAGCGGUAAAAUUUCGGGGCUCAACCCCGUCGUGCCGUUGAAACUGGCG
Molecule: ribosomal RNA, 305 nt
Filed under: uncultured bacterium
Lineage: Bacteria
Description: bacterial SSU rRNA
Rfam family: Bacterial small subunit ribosomal RNA
Source: RNAcentral